Molecule: ribosomal RNA, 484 nt
Filed under: Actinomycetales bacterium 'ARUP UnID 103'
Lineage: Bacteria; Bacillati; Actinomycetota; Actinomycetes; Actinomycetales
Description: bacterial SSU rRNA
Rfam family: Bacterial small subunit ribosomal RNA
Source: RNAcentral
GGACGAACGCUGGCGGCGUGCUUAACACAUGCAAGUCGAACGAAAAUACCAAGCUUGCUUGGUUGAUUAGUGGCGAACGGGUGAGUAACACGUGAGUAACCUGCCCCUUACUUUCUGGAUAACUGCUCGAAAGGGUAGCUAAUACGGGAUAUUCUGGCCUUCCUGCAUGGGUUGGUUUGGAAAGGUUUUUUUCUGGUGAGGGAUGGGCUCGCGGCCUAUCAGCUUGUUGGUGGGGUGAUGGCCUACCAAGGCUUUGACGGGUAGCCGGCCUGAGAGGGUGGACGGUCACACUGGGACUGAGAUACGGCCCAGACUCCUACGGGAGGCAGCAGUGGGGAAUAUUGCACAAUGGGCGCAAGCCUGAUGCAGCGACGCCGCGUGAGGGAUGAAGGCCUUCGGGUUGUAAACCUCUUUCGUCAGGGAACAAGGCACUGCUUUUGGUGGUGUUGAGGGUACCUGGAUAAGAAGCGCCGGCUAACUACGU